This 924-nucleotide long non-coding RNA is filed under the name Micromonas pusilla. RNAcentral describes it as "long non-coding RNA (MPUS_LNC000123)". The record is from RNAcentral. Lineage: Eukaryota; Viridiplantae; Chlorophyta; Mamiellophyceae; Mamiellales; Mamiellaceae.
CGCAUCCUCGUAUCGCUCCUUCUUAUAGCUGACGAUCCCUAUAUUAACUUGUCCGUUGACGUGACCCUUCGCAGCCGCCUUCUCGUACCAUUCCAUCGCCGUGUCGAGGUUUAGCUCCACGCCGUUGCCUAAUUGGUAACAAUGUCCGAGCCUGAGUUCCGCGUCAGCAAUACCUUGGUCGGCCGCUUUCGUGAACCACGUCACCGCCUCCUCGUAUCGCUCCUUCUUGUGGUUGACGAUCCCAAUACCAACUUGUGCGCCGGCGUGACCCUUCGCGGCCGCCUUCUCGUACCAUUCCAACGCCGUGUCGAGGUUUAUCUCCACGCCGUUGCCGAAUCGAUAGCAGUCCCCGAGGACGAAUUCCGCAUUACUUUCACCUUGGUCGGCCGCUUUCGUGAACCACGUCACCGCCUCCUCGUAUCGCUCCUUCGUAUAAUUAACGACCCCUAUACCAAACUGUCCAUCGGCGUGACCCUUCGCAGCCGCCUUCUCGAACCAUGCCAACGCCGUGUCGAGGUUUUGCUCCACGCCGUUGCCGAAUUGGUAACAACGUCCGAGCCAGCUUUCCGCUUCAGUGUCGUGUUGGUCGGCCGCUUUCGUGAACCACGUCACCGCAUCCUCGUAUCGCUCCUUCGUAUAGCUGACGACCCCAAUACCAACUUGUGCGCCGGUGUGACCCUUCGCAGCCGCCUUCUCGAACCAUGCCAACGCCGUGUCGAGGUUUAGCUCCACGCCGUUGCCGAAUUGGUAACAAUAUCCGAGCCUGUGUUCCGCUUCAGCAUCACCUUGGUCGGCCGCUUUCGUGAACCACGUCACCGCAUCCUCGUAUCGCUCCUUCGUAUAAUUGACGUCCCCUAUACCAACUUGUGCGCCGGCGUGACCCUUCGCAGCCGCCUUCUCGAACCAUUCCAACGCCGUGUCGAG